This 548-nucleotide ribosomal RNA is filed under the name Laufeia concava. RNAcentral's name for it is "partial 16S ribosomal RNA". The stretch from base 158 to 453 matches the Rfam family "Archaeal large subunit ribosomal RNA", at positions 2150 to 2716 of the family's 2987-position model. Lineage: Eukaryota; Metazoa; Arthropoda; Arachnida; Araneae; Salticidae. The record is from RNAcentral.
AUAAUCUGCUCAUGAUUAUUUAAUAGCCGCAUUCGUGCUAAGGUAGCAUAAUCAUUUGUCUUUUAAAUAAAGACUAGAACAAAAGAUUUAACAUUUUUACUUACUUAUUUACUUCAAUAAUUUAAAUUAUUUUAAAUAUUAAAAAAUUUUUAUAAAAUAAAAAGACGACAAGACCCUAUUGAACUUAACUUUAGUUAAACUGGGGUAGUAAAUUAAUUAUUAUUUUAAUUAUUUUAUAUUAAUUAUUAUCUAAUAAUAUUAAUUAUUCAGUUACCAUAGGGAUAACAGCGUAAUUAUAUUUUAAAGGUCAUAUAUAAAAUAUAGAUUACGACCUCGAUGUUGAAUUAAUUAUCUUUUUAAAGAAAAUUUUAAAUAAGAAAGUCUGUUCGACUUAUAAAUAAUUACAUGAUUUGAGUUCAGACCGGUAUAAGCCAGGUCGGUUUCUAUCUUUUGUAAAAAAUUUUACAGUACGAAAGGACCUAAAACUUUAAUUUAAUUAAAUUAAUUGGCAGACAUAUGCAUUAGAAUUAGAAUCUAAUAAAACUAAU